Long non-coding RNA from Macrobrachium nipponense, 1129 nucleotides. RefSeq lists it as uncharacterized. The transcript is spliced from 3 exons. The record is from RefSeq and is a predicted model, not a curated record. NCBI's taxonomy places the organism in Eukaryota, Metazoa, Arthropoda, Malacostraca, Decapoda, Palaemonidae.
CUAACCACCUAUCAGCAAUCAAUAGCUUAGCGUGUGUUUUGGUCUGGUAUCUUUUGAUUUGUGCUGAGCAGUGUGAUAUAUUUACGGUAUUAUUCUGUCGUUAAAAGCCUAAAUAUAGAGGCUUAUAAGUGGCAUGCAAAUCCAGGAAUGCUGUGUGUUGGUACACUGAAAAAAUGUUGGCAAAGUACAGAAUAACUGUAGUAUUUCAUUCCAAGGUGCAACUUUACCAAAGAUGGUCUCUGCCAAACACUUGUGAUACCUAACCUGAGUUAGCCUAUGAUUUUUAACUUUAUGAAAUGUAGGCUGUCAAGCCAAAUACUGGAACACCUCCGGUCAUUCCGCGCUUAAGACAGUGAAGAGAGGAAGUUGGAGUGGUGGGGCCACAAGAUCAAGAAAAUAAAGAUGUUUAGUAGGCCUUCAGGGAUUGAACAGCAAAACUGAAGAAAGGAAGUUGGAAUGGAGGUAAAGUAAGUCUAUAAGAGGGUGCAUUUGGUUGGCCUAAUGCCGGUAGCGCACCAUGUUAGUACCUCUGCCGGCUUUACUAUCUUACGGAUAAAGAAGUUUUAAAAUUGAAUCCAGUGAGAACUAUAGAUAGAUAUGAGAGAUGAUAGACAAACUCCUGGAAAAUCUGCAUGCACUCGAUAUUGAAGAUCUGCUUCGUGACUGGACUGGGAUGCCGGAAAUAGUUGGAAAUAUAAGGUUACUGCGAGGCGCCAGACAUCGGAGUCAAAAGGACCAACGAAACGCAUGAGGAAUGGUCUGGAGAGACUGUUACACCUGGGGAAUUACACCUUGGGAAAAAGCUUCCCGGAGUGAGCUGAUCGAGAAUGAGAGAGGCGGACCAGUUUCUUUCCGAGUGAUCGAAUCGAUGAAUCGAUAACUGCCUCCAAAUGUGAAUGAUCUGUGUUAGAAAUACUAGAGAACUGAUGAAGUGGAUCAUAGAAUUGAUAAAUUGUCUAAGAUGGCUGAUAAACUGUAGCAGACAACUGUAUGAGAAUGGAUCAGCUAUAUUAGAAAUUUUAGAUAUCACAGAGGACUGAUAAACUGUGACAAACAGUUAUUUUAAUUAUGUCAUGGUAAUUAAUAAACUUAGAAUGAUCAAAUAAUUAAUAAACUUAGAAUGAUCAAA